CAAGCGCACCCUUCGGGGCGAGCGGCGGACGGGUUAGUAACGCGUGGGAACGUACCCUUGUCUACGGAAUAGCCUUUGGAAACGAAGAGUAAUACCGUAUACGCCCUUCGGGGGAAAGAUUUAUCGGACAAGGAUCGGCCCGCGUUAGAUUAGAUAGUUGGUGGGGUAAUGGCCUACCAAGUCUACGAUCUAUAGCUGGUUUUAGAGGAUGAUCAGCAACACUGGGACUGAGACACGGCCCAG
Molecule: ribosomal RNA, 243 nt
Filed under: uncultured bacterium
Lineage: Bacteria
Description: partial 16S ribosomal RNA
Rfam family: Bacterial small subunit ribosomal RNA
Source: RNAcentral